RNAcentral lists this long non-coding RNA (352 nucleotides) under Struthio camelus australis. RNAcentral's name for it is "lncRNA (ENSSCUG00000014451.1)". The record is from RNAcentral. Lineage: Eukaryota; Metazoa; Chordata; Aves; Struthioniformes; Struthionidae.
AUACUCUUACUAGUCUUUUCUGAUGCCUCUUCCAGUCCCGCUUCAUCUUUCCUCUGAGAACAGAGUAUGCUACUCCAGCUGGAGUCUCUGCAAUGCCUCCCAGACAGCAUUUAGUGAUUUCCUGGGAUCCUUUGUAAGGAUGCUACAAGUAAACCUGUGUGCCUUCUCAAAGCCUGUCCUGAACCCACUGGAACACUGUACCGGACUCCACUGCAAGAAGGAGACUCUGUAACUUGAAUAUGCUUCUGGUGACCAAAACAGGUGACGGUUGAAAGAAUGAUCCAUUAAGUAAGAGAUGCACCAUAUAAUACUGGAAAUUUGAAGAUAUUUUAAGACCAUGAUUAUGUCCUGG